CCUACGGGUGGCAGCAGUAGGGAAUCUUUGACAAUGGGCGCAAGCCUGAUGGAGCAACGCCGCGUGCAGGAUGAAGGCCUUCCGGUUUGUAACUGCCUUUUUAAACGAGAUAUAGGAUGGCAACUGAUGAAUAUGGAUCGGCUAUCUACGUGCCAGCAGCCGCGGUCCUAUGCAGGAUCCGAGCGUUAUCCGGAGUGACUGAGUGUAAUAAGUUGCGUAUGUGGGAUAAUAAGUAGCUAAUGGAAUGUGGUGGCUCAACCAUUCAGACUAUAAGCGAUACUGGUAGGCUUGAGACCGUUAGGGGUAACUGGAAUUGGUAGUGGAGGAGUGAAAUACGUAGAUAUUAGAAAGAACACCGAUAGCGAAGGCAGGUUACUAGGACGGUUCUGACACUAAGGCACGAAAGUGUAGGGAGCAAACGGGAUUAGAUACCCCAGUAGUC
This 442-nucleotide ribosomal RNA is filed under the name uncultured bacterium. Its description in RNAcentral is "partial 16S ribosomal RNA". It matches the Rfam family "Bacterial small subunit ribosomal RNA", at positions 338 to 795 of the family's 1533-position model. The record is from RNAcentral.